CAGUCGCCGCGGUAAUACGAAGGGGGCUAGCGUUGUUCGGAAUUACUGAGCGUAAAGCGCACGUAGGCGGAUAUUUAAGUCAGGGGUGAAAUCCCGCAGCUCAACUGCGGAACUGCCUUUGAUACUGGGUAUCUUGAGUAUGGAAGAGGUUAGUGGAAUUGCGAGUGUAGAGGUGAAAUUCGUAGAUAUUCGCAGGAACACCAGUGGCGAAGGCGGCUAACUGGUCCAUAACUGACGCUGAGGUGCGAAAGCGUGGGGAGCAAACAGGAUUAGAUACCCCCGUAGUCCCUGUCUCUUAUAC
RNAcentral lists this ribosomal RNA (301 nucleotides) under uncultured bacterium. RNAcentral's name for it is "partial 16S ribosomal RNA". It matches the Rfam family "Bacterial small subunit ribosomal RNA", at positions 509 to 807 of the family's 1533-position model. The record is from RNAcentral.